UGCGAUAGCAGUUGUGGUGUAAGGAUGUUGAAAGAGAUUUGCAUGCUUGAAAGUGUUCCUGCUUUAAUCAUUGAAAGCAUCUGGCAUAUUGGUCUCAUUACUGGGUCAACCGCUUUAAGAUUCUUCAACAAGCCCUGAUGCAAGUAAAAGCACUUUAAUCCAAGCCCAGCAGUAUCUGGUUGACCAUCUGAAGCUGUCUGGCAAUUCCAGAGUCCUAAUGUUGGCUUUAUUCCAGAUGUUACCCCACUCUACACAUCUUUUGGUCAAGCCCUGGUCAGUCAAACCAGAGGACACAAACCGCAGGAGCUCUGUAAUAUUUAGGAGGUGUGGCACAACCAACGCAACCAGGCCCAAGUGCCAGUGUUACAGCUGAUGAUACAGCAGAUCCAUCCUCUGCAGGUGAGGAGCACUUACUAGCAUCUGCGUCCACGGAUCCUGCUGUUCCUUCCAUGUCCGUUUCAACCUCCGCAGAUGUAGCAGGUAAUUCUAGUUGUGGUCAUUGGGAUCUAUCACAUCUACUCCUUCAACUUUCAGCCUACACUAUGGAUCAGAAGGGCCUCCAGUUGACCCAGCUGAGAGGUCAUCUAUCCGGUCUUACUCGGAAAGGACCGAUCUGGUAAGCAGAGGGUCACUGCCUAAAAAGCAAAACUUCACAUUCCCUAAAUAAACUUGAUGGCAAAAACUUCCACUACACCUACAGUUAAUUAAUGGGGGGGGGGGGAAUCGGAAUCGGCCAACUGUUUGUAGUUGAUCUUCACUUUUGUACAUUGGUAAUUUUUAACGAAGCAAUUUAAAAUGGUUAACUUGUUUACAGUAAAUGCAUUGUCUGCUGGUUUAUUUGGCUACUUUUCAGUACACAAGUAUACCACUUAAUACUGUACGACUUUGAAUGUUAAAGUGCAAAUUAACAGCUGACCACUCUUGUGGGUGUGCUGCUGUUACAAUUUAAAAACCGUAGAAGGGCAAAAUGCCAGGCAGACAUUGAUAUGACGUAAGCAACAAGGCUACAACAAAUAAAAUUGAUGUUUGUGUUGGAUUCAUAGUGUGUGAAUCAAGCAUUGACCGUAGUCAAUCAUAUUGGUGGCACAGAGGUCCCCAAAUAAAAUUCUGCUUGGGAGACCAAUAAAGGCUUGGACUGUCCCUGACUGAAACCAUAAUUAUGCAUUCACUGUUUUUGGCUCCAGUGUACCCACAUGUUGUUGUUGUUGUUGUUGUUGUUGUAGUAGUAGUUCUUGUACUAGUUUUCUCACAACUGCUGGAUGUGGAACUGUCCUCCUUUUGAAUAAGUAUUUUGGAACUUUUUUUUUUUUUUUUUUUUUGCAAUCUUUGCUCAAGUGCCUUUGCGUGAAACAUCUAGUUUAUAAACUUAAUUUGUAUGUGCUUGAUCCUUAAAUUUGAAACCGGAAUUCAAAGCAUGGUUUUCUCAACUGAACAUGUGCACAACGCAAGCUGUUUUGUCAAGUUGGGGUUAGCCAACAGAUCAACAGAAUGGCUUUCUCAGCCCUUUUCAUUUGUGGAAUUGAAGUAGAACUGGUUGC
Long non-coding RNA from Sinocyclocheilus grahami, 1538 nucleotides. RefSeq lists it as uncharacterized. NCBI's taxonomy places the organism in Eukaryota, Metazoa, Chordata, Actinopteri, Cypriniformes, Cyprinidae. The transcript is spliced from 7 exons. The record is from RefSeq and is a predicted model, not a curated record.